RNAcentral lists this transfer RNA (72 nucleotides) under Peptoniphilus sp. oral taxon 386 str. F0131. It matches the Rfam family "tRNA". From Rfam's summary of the family: Transfer RNA (tRNA) molecules are approximately 80 nucleotides in length. Lineage: Bacteria; Bacillati; Bacillota; Tissierellia; Tissierellales; Peptoniphilaceae. The record is from Rfam by way of RNAcentral.
AGGGGUAUAGUUCAGUGGUAGAACAUUGGUCUCCAAAACCAAGUGUCGUGGGUUCAAGUCCUGCUACCCCUG